RNAcentral lists this ribosomal RNA (1110 nucleotides) under Triticum aestivum (bread wheat). RNAcentral describes it as "partial small subunit ribosomal RNA". Lineage: Eukaryota; Viridiplantae; Streptophyta; Magnoliopsida; Poales; Poaceae. The record is from RNAcentral.
AUGGCUGGAGACCGCGGCCACCUCGAUCCGUCCCGCAAGCGCGCUCCCGUGGACGCGGACCGGCUGAGCGACCUGCCGGACUGCCUCCUGGAGGACAUCCUCUCGCGCCUCGGGUCCCUGCAGGCCGUGCGGACGAGCGCGCUGUCCCGGCGCUGGCGGCACGUCUGGCGCUCCGUGCGCUGCGUCGACAUCGACCAGCGGGAGUUCCCCGGCAGCGGCCAUCCCGGCUCCCGCCAAUACCAGCGCUUCGAGGACUUCGCCGACACCAUGCUGCCGUGGCCUCCCGGCGCCGCGCAGCCGCCUCUGGACACGUUCCGCCUCCACUUCGCCGAUGCCAUGAACAGGGUGGCCAUGAACACUACGAGCUUUGGGAGGUGGAUCCGGCGCGGCCUCACGCGCCGCCCGGCCACCGUCGACCUCCAGUGCGGCUACGCCAAUGACUGCAUCCUGUGGCCGCCCCAGCACGUAGACAUGGGCGCCGCCGCCUGCCGCCUGACGAGGCUCCGGCUCUCCGGCGUGACGCUAGGAUUCUGCUCCCGGGAGGAGAUUGGCGGCCAGUUGCCGGUCCUCGAGGACCUGCACCUCGACAACUGCCACUACCACGGGGUCCUCACCAUUGCCUCGCCCACGCUCAAGAGCCUCGCAGUCACAAGUAAUUCGGUCAGUUACUUUACUGACACGGUGGCCAUCGCGGCUCCUCGCCUCGCCUCCCUCCGUCUCGUCCUUCCGUUCGGCCGCGACGGCAGGACCUCGGUGGUGACCAAAGCUCCAGGAAACGAGGCGCUGCCAUCGCUUGUCGAGGCGUCCAUCUGUCUAAACGAUAUGGACCAACGGGCUUACAAAGCCAAGCUCCCGUUCCUGAGAUCCAUGUGCAGCUUCCUCGGCCGACUAACCAAUGUCACGAAAUUAGAACUCUCGGGGUUCACAACCACGGCAUUGCUGGACCAUGAGUCUCAAGAUUUUCCGGUCCUCGAAAACCUAAGAACCUUGCUUCUCGACGGUUGUGAUAUUGGAGCAAUCAACCUCCAAGUGUUGAUGAAAAUCCUUGAGAACACCCCUAAUUUGGAGAAGCUCCGAUUGCACCGCUGCAAGGCACAUGCCUCUUUUUAA